Molecule: ribosomal RNA, 330 nt
Filed under: uncultured Actinomycetes bacterium
Lineage: Bacteria; Bacillati; Actinomycetota; Actinomycetes
Description: bacterial SSU rRNA
Rfam family: Bacterial small subunit ribosomal RNA
Source: RNAcentral
GACAAACGCUGGCGGCGUGCCUAACACAUGCAAGUCGAGCGUGAAAGGGGCUUCGGCCCUGAGUAAAGCGGCGAACGGGUGAGUAACACGUGGGCAACCUGCCUCAAGGACUGGGAUAACUCCGGGAAACCGGGGCUAAUACCGGGCGAUGUCGUCUCGCGCAAGCGAGCCGACCAAAUGGUAGCUUCGGCCUCCGCCUUGAGAUGGGCCCGCGUCCUAUCAGCUUGUUGGUGAGGUAACGGCUCACCAAGGCUACGACGGGUAGCUGGUCUGAGAGGAUGAUCAGCCACACUGGGACUGAGAUACGGCCCAGACACCUACGGGUGGCAG